This 446-nucleotide ribosomal RNA is filed under the name uncultured bacterium. Its description in RNAcentral is "bacterial SSU rRNA". It matches the Rfam family "Bacterial small subunit ribosomal RNA", at positions 330 to 793 of the family's 1533-position model. The record is from RNAcentral.
CCCAGACUCCUACGGGAGGCAGCAGUGGGGAAUAUUGCGCAAUGGGGGAAACCCUGAUGCAGCAACGCCGCGUGGGUGAAGAAGUAUUUCGGUAUGUAAAGCCCUAUCAGCAGGGAAGAGAAUGACGGUACCUGACUAAGAAGCCCCGGCUAACUACGUGCCAGCAGCCGCGGUAAUACGUAGGGGGCAAGCGUUAUCCGGAUUUACUGGGUGUAAAGGGAGCGUAGACGGUUGUGCAAGUCUGAAGUGAAAGCCCGCGGCUCAACUGCGGAACGGCUUUGGAAACUGUGUAACUGGAGUGCUGGAGAGGUAAGCGGAAUUCCUGGUGUAGCGGUGAAAUGCGUAGAUAUACGGAGGAACACCAGUGGCGAAGGCGGAUUGCUGGACAGUAACUGACGCUGAGGCGCGAAAGCGUGGGGAGCAAACAGGAUUAGAUACCCGUGUAU